This is an RNA transcript of Triticum aestivum (bread wheat), 2537 nucleotides long. It is a transcript of the gene named disease resistance RPP13-like protein 4, with no coding region annotated. The record is from RefSeq and is a predicted model, not a curated record. Lineage: Eukaryota; Viridiplantae; Streptophyta; Magnoliopsida; Poales; Poaceae. The transcript is spliced from 3 exons.
AAAUUACAUCACCAUCAUUUGCUGGAGCAUAUUUUUUGGAUCCAAAUAUCUUAAAUAUCAGUUUUUUAUACCAAGCAGCAAACUAGCGACUAAAAAACGAAGUGACCUAAAUCUCAGCUUUGCCCCGUUGUCUCCGCGAAGAGCAAUACAGAUGCAGAGCAGAGCAGGAUCAUCGUCUCGCCGAGCUCGUGAAAAUAUACAGGACCUGAGACUGGCGGCGCUGUAAAGACACGAGGUACCGACUGACUACCGCCGCCGCCUUCUGUAUUUUCGGAGUUUCAGUUCAUUGACCAAAAAAGAUGUCACACGAAAGGACUUUGGAGGAAGUUGUGUCCCCCUUUCUCAUGCAGUUAUCGAAAGCACGAGUUCAUUCGUUGACACUGGAUGGGGAUAGUUUACCUUCAGAGAUCAAACUUCUGUUUGAAAAUAUCGAGAGAGAAGCACGUGACAUGGAAGAUGUACUAAAGCGGGUGUCUAGAUGGGAAAGUGAGAUUAUCAAUGACUUUGGAGGAAUAGCUCGGCAUUUAGAUGACAUCAUAGAAGAAGAUACCCAGCAGCAAUUUGUACAUUCUAAGCUUCAGAUCGUGAACACUGAAAUGUCCAACUUAAAAGACCGCUUGAAAUUUCCUCUCCAUGUUCCUUUGAUCAAGUCAGCAGCUCCUGUGUUGUUAUCAUCAUCUUUACCAUCGAAAUUGCUGUCCGCAAAUGCUUCAGAGCAAUGGAAAAAAUUGGAGAUUGAGAGGAAAAUCCUUGAGAGCUCCACGAUAUCUAGCUUGCAGCUCAGCUAUUAUAAUCUUGACCUUCAGCUGAAGCUGUGCUUGUUAUGCUUCUCUGUAUUCCCAGAAAAUUCCAUUAUUAGCAAGAGGGCCAUGAUCCAUUGGUGGAUUGGUGAAGGGUUAGUAGAAGCCACAAGAAGUCAGACAGCUGAAGAUAUUGGGAAGGAGUGCUUUGAGAAGUUGAUCACUGCAGAGAUGAUUGAACAUGUACGCCAUAAACGUAACUGUAGUGUGAACCAAUGCAAGUUGCAUCCUUGGAUUCGGCGUAUGUUGAUUACCGUUGCAAGGCAAGAACGAUUUUUUGAAUUUGAUUCCGAUGGCAGUGCAACAUGGGGCUUUUCAGGUACUCGCCGUGCUUGUCUAGUUGGAGAACAUAUUCAGGCAACAGAAACGGCAUCACUCAGAAAUCAGUCCAAUCCAGAUUACCUUCUUGCAAUAUUCAAUGUGAGCGAGCAAUACCUCCAGUUCGACAAGAAUUGGUUCUUGGAUUUGAGGAAGAUCGAAGUUCUCCAACUAGGUCGGUGGCAUAACUUGUACCGACACCAUAUUGAGGUUGACAGCACGGAAUAUUUGGAAGGGUUGCAGUCAUGCAAACAAUUGAAAUAUCUUUGUCUGCGGGGUAUCUCCCGUAUCACAGAGCUUCCUGCUUCAAUCGGCGCACUCUCAAAUCUCAGGAUCUUGGAUCUCCAUGCUUGUCAUAACCUUGAGAGGCUUACUGAGAGCAUCACGUCUCUUCAGAUGCUGACCCACCUGGACGUUUCAGAAUGCUACCUUUUGGAGGGCAUGCCAAGGGGCAUUGGUUUGCUUACUGAACUCCAAGUGCUGAAAGGGUUUGUCAUUGGUGGAUCUACAGGCAAGUACAAUUGUCAGGUAGCGGAGCUGAUCAGGCUGGGCAAGCUGAAGAAGCUAAGCAUAUAUAUUGGAAGCAAAGUUCUAGUGACAGAAGACGAACUGCAUGAAGUUGAGAACAUCAAAGCCCUUUGUGUGCUGACAAUUACAUGGGCUGUGUUGCUGUCAAAGAAAGGAGCGGAUGAACAAGAUUCAGCAGCAACGGCAUUGUUAAAUUCGUUAUCCCUUCCUCCCCAUCUUGAGAAGCUAGACUUGCGUUGCUUCCCUGGCGAGAACAUGCCGGUUUGGUUGAGUCCGAGUAGGCUGUUGAGAUUACGCAGGCUCUACUUCACAGGAGGAAUGCUGCGCACUUUUGGAGAGAAGCGCAUGUCUGAGCAGUGGAACAUUGAGAUAUUGCGUUUGAAGUUCUUGAAUGACUUGGUACUAGAAUGGACCCAGGUGAAUGAGAUGUUUCCAAACCUGACCUUCCUGGAGGUAUUCAGAUGUAGCAACAUAGAAUCUUUCCCUUGUGACAAGGAUGGAGUGUGGAUGAACUACGAUACCCAGGAAACCAGAGAGUAGAGCAAAGCACCAAAUAAAGUGAGUUCUCAUUAUUACAUAUGUAAUAAGUCAAUUUCUGCCCUCAAUGUUGAAACAAAAAUACAAAGGAAAAAAAGAAGAUGCACGAAGCCAGGCUUUUUCAUGUGAGCGCAUUGUCAGGAAAGAGUGAUGUAUUAAUGGAAAGCAAGUUUGAUCAGAGUCUCUACCAAAGUUGUGCAAGUUAUGGUCAGUCUCUCUCACACAUGUUAUUUCACGGCGUCAUGCAGAAGUUUGUUACGGCCUUCAAGUGAAAAUUUACUAGCCUUUUUAACUUUCUACAAAAUGUAUGUUUGUCUUGAAUUUUUGUCAUAAUAUAUUUGUGAAAGCCAUAAA